Molecule: ribosomal RNA, 300 nt
Filed under: uncultured Balnearium sp.
Lineage: Bacteria; Pseudomonadati; Aquificota; Aquificia; Desulfurobacteriales; Desulfurobacteriaceae
Description: bacterial SSU rRNA
Rfam family: Bacterial small subunit ribosomal RNA
Source: RNAcentral
UGGAACGACGCGUCAGCGGCCGGGGUAAGACGGCGGGCGCACGCGUUGGCCCGCAUCAUUGGGCGUAAAGCGCGUGUAGGCGGCCAGAAAAGUCCGCGUUGAAAACUCGAGGCUCAACUUCGAGCUGUCGGUGGAAACUUUCUGGCUAGAGUCCGGAAGAGGAGAAUGGAAUUCCUGGUGUAGUGGUGAAAUGCGCAGAUAUCAGGAAGAACACCCGUGGCGAAGGCGGUUCUCUGGGACGGUACUGACGCUGAGACGCGAAAGCGUGGGGAGCGAACAGGAUUAGAUACCCCAGUAGUC